UUAAUUAAAGCCAAAUUGGAGGCAUCUUAUUGUUAAUGAGAAUAUUGAAUUUAUUUCUAAUUAAA
Molecule: transfer RNA, 65 nt
Filed under: Jacobiasca formosana
Lineage: Eukaryota; Metazoa; Arthropoda; Insecta; Hemiptera; Cicadellidae
Description: tRNA-Asn
Source: RNAcentral